This 253-nucleotide ribosomal RNA is filed under the name uncultured bacterium. RNAcentral describes it as "partial 16S ribosomal RNA". It matches the Rfam family "Bacterial small subunit ribosomal RNA", at positions 524 to 776 of the family's 1533-position model. The record is from RNAcentral.
UACGAAGGGGGCUAGCGUUGCUCGGAAUUACUGGGCGUAAAGCGUGCGCAGGCGGUUUUGUAAGCCAGAUGUGAAAUCCCCGGGCUCAACCUGGGAAUGGCAUUUGGGACUGCAAGGCUGGAGUGUGGCAGAGGAGACUGGAAUUCCUGGUGUAGCAGUGAAAUGCGUAGAUAUUAGGAGGAAUACCGAUGGCGAAGGCAGGUCUCUGGGCUGACACUGACGCUCAUGCACGAAAGCGUGGGGAGCAAACAGG